RNAcentral lists this ribosomal RNA (492 nucleotides) under uncultured bacterium. RNAcentral describes it as "partial 16S ribosomal RNA". It matches the Rfam family "Bacterial small subunit ribosomal RNA", at positions 29 to 523 of the family's 1533-position model. The record is from RNAcentral.
AUUGAACGCUGGCGGCAUGCUUUACACAUGCAAGUCGAACGGUAACAGGUUAAGCUGACGAGUGGCGAACGGGUGAGUAAUGCAUCGGAACGUGCCCGAUCGUGGGGGAUAACGCAGCGAAAGCUGCGCUAAUACCGCAUACGAUCUGAGGAUGAAGCGGGGGACCGUAAGGCCUCGCGCGAUCGGAGCGGCCGAUGUCGGAUUAGGUAGUUGGUGGGGUAAAGGCUCACCAAGCCAACGACCUGUAGCUGGUCUGAGAGGACGACCAGCCACACUGGGACUGAGACACGGCCCAGACUCCUACGGGAGGCAGCAGUGGGGAAUUUUGGACAAUGGGCGAAAGCCUGAUCCAGCAAUGCCGCGUGCAGGAAGAAGGCCUUCGGGUUGUAAACUGCUUUUGUACGGAGCGAAAAGGCUCUCUCUAAUACAGGGGGCUCAUGACGGUACCGUAAGAAUAAGCACCGGCUAACUAGGUGCCAGCAGCCGCCGUAA